This 265-nucleotide long non-coding RNA is filed under the name Panicum hallii. RNAcentral describes it as "long non-coding RNA (PHAL_LNC000778)". The record is from RNAcentral. Lineage: Eukaryota; Viridiplantae; Streptophyta; Magnoliopsida; Poales; Poaceae.
GGAGCCACUCGCCACGUCGCCGGCCAUGGCCCUCGCUGGCCAUGGCGUGGCUUUGACUGGCCGGACCCCUCUCUGACCCAUGGGGCCCGGUAGUCAGGCUGUUAGGUUUAGAUUUUCUGAAAAAUCUUGUUUAUUUCAGCUGAAAACUUGUAAAAUGCAUAACAAAUCAAGGAAAAAUUCUAAAAACACAAAAUUAGUUUUGUUUGGUUGUUUAGAUCUAGAUCUACAGAGGAAAAAUGUUCAUGCUUGUGUAAUGUCGUUUUGC